This 164-nucleotide ribosomal RNA is filed under the name uncultured bacterium. RNAcentral describes it as "partial 16S rRNA". It matches the Rfam family "Bacterial small subunit ribosomal RNA", at positions 355 to 511 of the family's 1533-position model. The record is from RNAcentral.
UAGGGAAUCUUCGGCAAUGGGGGCAACCCUGACCGAGCAACGCCGCGUGAGUGAAGAAGGUUUUCGGAUCGUAAAGCUCUGUUGUAAGAGAAGAACGUGUGUGAGAGUGGAAAGUUCACACAGUGACGGUAACUUACCAAAAGGGACGGCUAACUACGUGUCAG